AUGGGCGACACGACCAGGAACCGGCACGGGAACGACAAUGACGACGCGAAGGCGCCAUCCUCGUCGCCGGAGACGGUGUACUACGAGGGGUGCCCCGGCUGCGCCAUGGAGCGCAAGAAGGAGAACAGCACGGGCACGCCCUAUAAGGAGUUCUUCUACGUCGGGGUCACCACCCUCGCCUCCGCUCUGCCAAUAUCAGCACUGUUCCCCUUCUUGUACUUCAUGAUACAAGAUAUGCAUGUGGCAAAGAACGAAGAAGACAUUGGUGUGUAUGCCGGUCUUCUUGGUGCAUCAUACAUGAUCGGCAGAUGUUUUGCCUCGCUGUUUUGGGGUGUGGUGGCAGAUCGUAUUGGGAGAAAACCUAUCAUUGCAUUCUCCAUGUUCUCAGUGGUCAUCUUUAACACUCUAUUUGGACUGAGUGAAAAGUAUUGGAUGGCGAUUGCCACAAGAAUGCUCCUUGGCUCUCUAAAUGGCAUGCUUGCCCCAAUAAAGGCUUAUUCAGUUGAAGUUUGUCGACCAGAACAUCAUGCUCUAGGAUUAUCAGUUGUAAGCACAGGUUGGGGCAUAGGUCUUGUUGUCGGUCCAGCCAUUGGAGGCUACUUAGCGCAGCCUGCAAAGCAAUAUCCAAACCUAUUUUCCGAGAAGUCAGUUUUUGGAAGGUUUCCGUAUUUGCUGCCAUGCCUUUUUAUUUCAUUGAUCGCCUUUGCUGUUCUAAUCAGCUGCAUAUGGCUACCGGAGACACUUCAUAUGCAUAAAAACUUAGAAAGGGAAGUAGAAAUGUAUUGUGAUUCAGAAGUUGCUCCCCAUAGAGAAGUUCCGCAUUCAGAGAAGAAGAGUCUAUACAAGAACUGGCCAUUGAUGUCUUCUAUAAUUGCAUAUUGUGUUUUCACCCUUCAUGAUACGGCAUACAGUGAGAUAUUUUCCUUGUGGGCGGUUAGUGACAAGAAGUAUGGCGGACUAAGCUUUUCAUCUAAAGAUGUCGGCCAAGUUCUUGCGGCUUCAGGUGCUGGACUUCUUUUGUAUCAAAUAUUUGUGUAUAGACAUGUCCACAAAUAUCUUGGGUCUAUCAUUUCAUCCCGUAUUGCAGCUGUUCUAUCAAUACCACUUCUUGCUACUUACCCAUUCAUGACACACCUAUCAGGGACCAAACUCGGACUAGCUAUUUAUUGUGCUGCCGUUAUGAAGGGUGCUUUUGCUACGACUAUCUUAACGGGCACUUGUAUUUUGCAAAACAGUGCUGUGCCACAAAAUCAAAGAGGUGCCGCAAAUGGAAUAUCUACGACUGCAAUGUCCCUCUUCAAGGCCAUUGCUCCAGCAGGAGCAGGUGUUCUGUUCUCAUGGGCCCAAAAGCGCCAACAUGCUGCUUUCUUUCCAGGGGAUCAAAUGAUAUUUCUGAUUUUGAAUAUAGUCGAAGUAAUUGGGCUUGUGCUAACCUUCAAGCCAUUCCUGGCAAUUCCAAAACAGUAUGAUUUCAAGUAG
RNAcentral lists this ribosomal RNA (1479 nucleotides) under Triticum aestivum (bread wheat). RNAcentral describes it as "partial small subunit ribosomal RNA". Lineage: Eukaryota; Viridiplantae; Streptophyta; Magnoliopsida; Poales; Poaceae. The record is from RNAcentral.